AUUGAACGCUGGCGGCAUGCUUUACACAUGCAAGUCGAACGGCAGCGCGGGGCAACCUGGCGGCGAGUGGCGAACGGGUGAGUAAUACAUCGGAACGUACCCAGAAGUGGGGGAUAACGUAGCGAAAGUUACGCUAAUACCGCAUACGUUCUACGGAAGAAAGUGGGGGACCUUCGGGCCUCAUGCUUUUGGAGCGGCCGAUGUCUGAUUAGCUAGUUGGUNGGGUAAAGGCUUACCAAGGCGACGAUCAGUAGCUGGUCUGAGAGGACGACCAGCCACACUGGGACUGAGACACGGCCCAGACUCCUACGGGAGGCAGCAGUGGGGAAUUUUGGACAAUGGGCGCAAGCCUGAUCCAGCAAUGCCGCGUGAGUGAAGAAGGCCUUCGGGUUGUAAAGCUCUUUUGUCAGGGCAGAAACGGCUGAGGUUAAUACCUUCGGCUAAUGACGGUACCUAAGAAUAAGCACCGGCUAACUA
RNAcentral lists this ribosomal RNA (477 nucleotides) under beta proteobacterium MB17. Its description in RNAcentral is "bacterial SSU rRNA". It matches the Rfam family "Bacterial small subunit ribosomal RNA", at positions 30 to 503 of the family's 1533-position model. The record is from RNAcentral. Lineage: Bacteria; Pseudomonadati; Pseudomonadota; Betaproteobacteria.